GGUGACCUCGAUCAGGUAGAA
Molecule: ribosomal RNA, 21 nt
Filed under: Exophiala sideris
Lineage: Eukaryota; Fungi; Ascomycota; Eurotiomycetes; Chaetothyriales; Herpotrichiellaceae
Description: partial 28S ribosomal RNA
Source: RNAcentral